GAUAACAUUAAUCCCAUAACUUGGCGCUUUAGAGAAAUGUCAUUGAAUUAUAGGUAUAAAUACUUCCCUAAAAUAUUCCCCUUUCCACGAUCUCUCAUCCACCAAACAUUCCCUCUACCAUUUCAAACCCCCCCAAAUGCUCAUACCAAAUAAACCUGUGUACAAAACCGAAUAGGAUCUCUCAUCCACCAAACACAUCCUUCUUAUUACUUUCCUAAAAUCCCCUUUAUCACUGUUACUGUUACCAUCAUAGAGAGAAAACUUCAAUCUUGAUAUCGAUGAUGAAACCCUAGAUUCUCUUGAUGUUUUCCCGACUUGGUCCUUCUCGUGGAAGAAGUUGUGGCUAUUCACGGACGCGAGUACUCCAUUUCUUGAUCCUGGAAACCUAGAAAAGGAUCUUGAGGCUAGAGCCACUAUAGGAUAUUCAUUGUUAUGGUUAUUGAUGUGGGUAAUGGUUAUGGGGUUCUUGAUCCAGUUAUUGUCAGCGAGAAUUGGGGUGGCCAUGGGCCAUCAUCUUGCUCAGAUCUGUAAUGAAAGAGUAUCACAUGGGUCGUUUUUGUCAUGGGUUUUUGCCUAGAUUGAGGCUAAUAUCUAGGAGCUAAUUCUUAGCCGUGGGUUUUUGCCGUUUUGGGCUGGAGUUGUAAUUUCUGCAUUCAAUUGGCUAUCAAUGAUCAUGGAUCAUAUAUAAUGGGGUUUCAGUGAGCAACAGAGAUGGGAUGCAAUCAGGAGAAUCUAAGUUUUGCUAUGAUGAAGAAAAGACACAGGUAUUUUGUGAUUUUGUUGUGGAUUAGAUAAGGCCUAGCACACUACAGAGAACAAUUUUAAUUGUAAGUCCAAUUGUUGAAUUCCUAAAUGUUGGUGUGAAUCCCAUACAAUGUUAAUGAUUUCUUUCACCUCUUAGCUUUUGAAUUUGGCAAGAUUUGGUGGUUAACCAGUGACUUGAAAGAGGAGGGUUGUUGGAGGCUACACAAGCAUGAACUUCGUGGAAAGAUUGCAAGAGAAACUGGUUAGCCAAAAGAAGAUAACCAUUGUGUUGAAGGAGGUGAUCUUGAAAACCAUGAAGAUUACAUCAAUAAAGUUAUUUGGAGGUUGAACUAUAUUUUUUGUAAAAUAUAGAUGUUAAUAGUUGCACAGAUAUUUGUUUUUUUAUUGAAAGAAUUAGAAAUUGUUAUUCAAAUAUUUUGAUAUAAUUAACAAAUUUGUAUGUAAUUAUCA
This is a long non-coding RNA of Vitis vinifera (wine grape), 1215 nucleotides long. RefSeq lists it as uncharacterized. The record is from RefSeq and is a predicted model, not a curated record. The transcript has 4 exons. NCBI's taxonomy places the organism in Eukaryota, Viridiplantae, Streptophyta, Magnoliopsida, Vitales, Vitaceae.